Molecule: unclassified non-coding RNA, 237 nt
Filed under: Curvularia hawaiiensis
Lineage: Eukaryota; Fungi; Ascomycota; Dothideomycetes; Pleosporales; Pleosporaceae
Description: partial internal transcribed spacer region
Rfam family: Eukaryotic small subunit ribosomal RNA (bases 1-46)
Source: RNAcentral
AAGUCGUAACAAGGUUUCCGUAGGUGAACCUGCGGAGGGAUCAUUACACAAUAAAAUACGAAGGCCGUUCGCGGCUGGACUAUUUAUUACCCUUGUCUUUUGCGCACUUGUUGUUUCCUGGGCGGGUUCGCUCGCCACCAGGACCACAAUAUAAACCUUUUUUAUGCAGUUGCAAUCAGCGUCAGUAUAACAAAUGUAAAUCAUUUACAACUUUCAACAACGGAUCUCUUGGUUCUG